Molecule: long non-coding RNA, 327 nt
Organism: Saccostrea cuccullata (small rock oyster)
Lineage: Eukaryota; Metazoa; Mollusca; Bivalvia; Ostreida; Ostreidae
Exons: 3
Source: RefSeq, a predicted model, not a curated record
AAUCAAGUUGAGCGGGUCUGCAUCGUUAUUUUGACGAAGUUUGAAACCAGUGGUAAUUUUUUGACACUUCAUCUAGAUUUAAGAAGAUUCUUGCCUGAACAACUGCUCUAACUCCCGGGUUGGCAUGCUCUAAAGGUAUAGUGAAUUCAGUAUGCAGAUUGUUGAAGGGAAAACAUCAAGACGGGGCGAGGAAGACAACAAAACAUGAUUACCCAGAUUGAGGAUCCCAGUGUUCUUUGUCUCAAGCUACUCAGCCUACCAUGAGAAAAUUAAAAGAUCUGUCAUGAAGAAGAGGCUGGUUCUCAACUUUCAUAUUAUAAAUGGCAA